Molecule: ribosomal RNA, 1543 nt
Filed under: Klebsiella pneumoniae UCI 62
Lineage: Bacteria; Pseudomonadati; Pseudomonadota; Gammaproteobacteria; Enterobacterales; Enterobacteriaceae
Description: bacterial LSU rRNA
Rfam family: Bacterial large subunit ribosomal RNA
Source: RNAcentral
CGAAAGGCGUAGUCGAUGGGAAACAGGUUAAUAUUCCUGUACUUGGUGUUACUGCGAAGGGGGGACGGAGAAGGCUAUGUUAGCCGGGCGACGGUUGUCCCGGUUUAAGCAUGUAGGCUGGUUGUCCAGGCAAAUCCGGAUAAUCAAGGCUGAGGUGUGAUGACGAGGCACUACGGUGCUGAAGUAACAAAUGCCCUGCUUCCAGGAAAAGCCUCUAAGCAUCAGGUAACAUUAAAUCGUACCCCAAACCGACACAGGUGGUCAGGUAGAGAAUACCAAGGCGCUUGAGAGAACUCGGGUGAAGGAACUAGGCAAAAUGGUGCCGUAACUUCGGGAGAAGGCACGCUGGUGUGUAGGUGAAGCCCCUGCGGGUGGAGCUGAGACCAGUCGAAGAUACCAGCUGGCUGCAACUGUUUAUUAAAAACACAGCACUGUGCAAACACGAAAGUGGACGUAUACGGUGUGACGCCUGCCCGGUGCCGGAAGGUUAAUUGAUGGGGUUAUCCGUAAGGAGAAGCUCUUGAUCGAAGCCCCGGUAAACGGCGGCCGUAACUAUAACGGUCCUAAGGUAGCGAAAUUCCUUGUCGGGUAAGUUCCGACCUGCACGAAUGGCGUAAUGAUGGCCAGGCUGUCUCCACCCGAGACUCAGUGAAAUUGAACUCGCUGUGAAGAUGCAGUGUACCCGCGGCAAGACGGAAAGACCCCGUGAACCUUUACUAUAGCUUGACACUGAACAUUGAGCCUUGAUGUGUAGGAUAGGUGGGAGGCUUUGAAGCGUGGACGCCAGUCUGCGUGGAGCCAACCUUGAAAUACCACCCUUUAAUGUUUGAUGUUCUAACGUUGGCCCCUGACCGGGGUUGCGGACAGUGUCUGGUGGGUAGUUUGACUGGGGCGGUCUCCUCCCAAAGCGUAACGGAGGAGCACGAAGGUUAGCUAAUCCUGGUCGGACAUCAGGAGGUUAGUGCAAUGGCAUAAGCUAGCUUGACUGCGAGCGUGACGGCGCGAGCAGGUGCGAAAGCAGGUCAUAGUGAUCCGGUGGUUCUGAAUGGAAGGGCCAUCGCUCAACGGAUAAAAGGUACUCCGGGGAUAACAGGCUGAUACCGCCCAAGAGUUCAUAUCGACGGCGGUGUUUGGCACCUCGAUGUCGGCUCAUCACAUCCUGGGGCUGAAGUAGGUCCCAAGGGUAUGGCUGUUCGCCAUUUAAAGUGGUACGCGAGCUGGGUUUAGAACGUCGUGAGACAGUUCGGUCCCUAUCUGCCGUGGGCGCUGGAGAAUUGAGGGGGGCUGCUCCUAGUACGAGAGGACCGGAGUGGACGCAUCACUGGUGUUCGGGUUGUCAUGCCAAUGGCACUGCCCGGUAGCUAAAUGCGGAAGAGAUAAGUGCUGAAAGCAUCUAAGCACGAAACUUGCCCCGAGAUGAGUUCUCCCUGAGACUUUAAGUCUCCUGAAGGAACGUUGAAGACGACGACGUUGAUAGGCCGGGUGUGUAAGCGCAGCGAUGCGUUGAGCUAACCGGUACUAAUGAACCGUGAGGCUUAACCUU